This 497-nucleotide ribosomal RNA is filed under the name uncultured bacterium. Its description in RNAcentral is "partial 16S ribosomal RNA". It matches the Rfam family "Bacterial small subunit ribosomal RNA", at positions 28 to 507 of the family's 1533-position model. The record is from RNAcentral.
GAUGAACGCUGGCGGCGUGCCUAAUACAUGCAAGUCGAGCGAACGGGCGAGAGGUUUGCUUCUCUGAUGUUAGCGGCGGACGGGUGAGUAACACGUGGAUAACCUACCUUUAAGACUGGGAUAACUUCGGGAAACCGGCUCUAAUACCGUAAUAUAUUUUGAACCGCAUGGUUCAAAAGAAAAGUACGGUCUUGCUGUUACUAAUAGAUGCAUCCGCGCUGCAUUAGCUAGUUGGUAGGGUAACGGCUUACGAAGGCAACGAUGAAUAGCCGACCGGGGAGGGUGAUCGGCAACCUGGGAACGGGAACACGCCCAAGACUCCUCCGGGAGGCAGCAGAAGGGAAUCUUCGGCAUGGGGCGAAGGCUUGCCGGACAAACGCGGGGGGGUGGAGGAAGGUUUCCGGUUCGUAAACCCUUGUGAUAAGGGAAGAACAGAUGUGGAAGGGAAUGUGCACAUUGUGACGGUACCUAAUCAGAAAGCCACGGCUAACUACGUG